UGUGUAUGUUGGCUUGGGAGCAUGUGGAGAAGCGGAAGAUCAGCUGGCGUGAUCUGUGGGCGAUGGACGCCGGUCGUAUUAAGUUUCUCAUCGGAGCCACCUACGAUGUUCUCCCUACUCCGCAGAAUCUUAAUCGCUGGGUAGGUACAGAGCCGACUUGCAGCUUGUGCGGUGGUGUAGCCUCUUUGAGGCACAUUCUAUCUGCAUGUAAGGUUAGUUUAUCUCAGGGAAGAUAUACUUGGAGGCAUAAUGAAGUGUUAAGAUCCUUGGCAUGCUUGUUGGAGAACAAGCGGGUUGAAGUUAAUUCACUCCCGCAGUAUGGAAGAAAUAAGCUUAUUUCUUUCGUGCGGGAGGGGGAGAGUGUUAUAAGUCACGCGCGUGGUCGUGGUGAUACGAGUUUUAAAUGGGGUGAAGUGCGUGACUGGAAGUUGUUGGCGGACGUGGGAAAACAACUGCAGAUGCCGCAGUGCAUUGCGAUCACGGCGUUGAGACCCGAUAUUGUGCUGUACUCCGAGGGCGCACGGAUAGUGUACUUCAUUGAAUUAACUAUACCUUUCGAAGACUCAUUGGAAGAUGCCUUUGAGAGGAAGAAAUUGAAGUACACUGAGUUGGCUGGUGAGGUGAGGGAGCGAGGCUGGCAGUGCGUUAUUAGACCAGUGGAGAUCGGUACUAGAGGGUUUGUUGCAAAAUCAACCACGUCGCUGCUGUUGGAGUUUGGUUUUAGGGGUCAGUCGUUAAGAGCAGCCAUUAAAGGCUUGUCAGAGGUAGCAGAAAGAUCUAGUCAGUGGUUGUGGAUGAGAAGGCACCAGGGUGCUUGGGGGAAGCACACUUGAGUGGGGAGUACUCACCUAGGUGAACAUCAAUGGUUUGAGUUUUGUUGUCACCUCCAUAUGCUGGUAUGGUGUAUUGGUUGGUUUUUUUUUUGGUGGGUGGAGUCGCUGGGAUGGCACUGUGGGCAUGGAGGGGGGUGGGUCUGGGACGCCAGAUCUCGCUGUUGAGCCUUCUGGAGGUGUAGUGGGCUCAAUUCAAUGAAACAUCAAUGAAGGAAGGUGCCCACUUGACAACCCCAACGAAGUGCACACGGUGGCUCCCGGCAAGGAGGAUGGUGUUUGCCCAUGAUAUUUUUUGUGAAGGGAAUUGGUUGGUUUUGGGAGGGAUGGUAUAUUGUGGCAUGGUUGGUUUGUCUAGCCCCCUUGGUUUUUGGCACGAGGGGUUGAAUAUCUUUCCCUGUGUAUUAUUGUAUGUAUAAU
Molecule: long non-coding RNA, 1250 nt
Filed under: Scleropages formosus (Asian bonytongue)
Lineage: Eukaryota; Metazoa; Chordata; Actinopteri; Osteoglossiformes; Osteoglossidae
Description: lncRNA (ENSSFOG00015030615.1)
Source: RNAcentral